GCGAGUAGGCCUGGAAGCGCUCCGAAGGGCGUUGGGUAUGCACCUAGAUUCCUGCAGGGGGUGCAGAAGAGCAGAUUGUUUUCUUCCCUUAUUUGUCUUGAGCACUUCCAGGGGGAACUCCAGGUUCAGGCCAGAAGCCUGGAGGGCUGUUCGCCUUGGCGGGAUUGGAAUCCAAUUCCCACACUCCUCAGGUGAAGCAACCCCUCCUCCAGCUGGGUGCUCUGAGGAGAGAGGGUCUUCGUGUCGCUCACUCCAGCGUCUCCCAGGCCUGGCACACAUUUCAUGUUCAAUAAACGUUGAGUGACAAGUAAAGGUCACAGGGGAUCGAGUGCCUAGCCCGGCGACUCGCACACUGGGCCAUGGGAGCGGGAUCUGAGCGGGAUCUGGGCGGGAAACUUGCUGGGUAGAGAUGUCAAGUUGCCAGGCGCAUGUGCUGGAUGAGGGUGCGGGCCUGAGUCCGUAGUGCAUUGUAGCAGAGUCCUCUCUCGCCUAAGGGUCUGGGCACUCCUCUCUUAGUGUUUGUCAUUAAUGGAGUCCUUACUCUGCUUGGACAGCGGACACUUGGUGGGGAAAGGCCAGCGAUUAUUAGAUACCCGCUGUAUAUCUGAGGGCCCAUUGAAUAUUCUCAAAAUAAUCAGGUAGAAUAGGUUUAUACUUCUUAUUUCAAAGAGAGAUUAAAAGAUUUGGGGAAAUUAACAGGGUUUUUUGUUUGUUUUUGUUUUUGUACUGGGGAUGGAACCCAGCUUUUAUCACUAAGCUACCUUUUAUCACUAAGCUACGCAACCUUUUUUUUUUUUUAUUUUGAGACAGGGUCUCUCUAAUUUGCUCAGAUUGACGUUGAAUUUGGGAUCUUCCUGCCUUGGCCUCUGGAGUAUCUGAGACUACAGCAGGCAUACCACAACACCCAGCUGUUUGACAGUUUUACUGAUGUUAAACAUAGGCAACACUCCUAAAUGUACAUCUUCCUAGAAGCAUAUGCACUAGAUAUUUGUAGUGACUUUAUUCGUAAUAGGCAAACUCUUGAAGCAAUUCAAAUAUCUAUUAGCAGGAUGAAUGAGGAGACGAGCUGUGGUGUACUCAACACAAUGGAAUAGUACAUAGCAGUGAAAGAACUAACGGGGGCUGGGGUUGUGGCUCAGUGGUA
RNAcentral lists this long non-coding RNA (1144 nucleotides) under Marmota monax (woodchuck). The record is from RNAcentral. Lineage: Eukaryota; Metazoa; Chordata; Mammalia; Rodentia; Sciuridae.